GAUGAACGCUGGCGGCGUGCCUAAUACAUGCAAGUCGAGCGAAUGGAUUAAGAGCUUGCUCUUAUGAAGUUAGCGGCGGACGGGUGAGUAACACGUGGGUAACCUGCCCAUAAGACUAGGAUAACUCCGGGAAACCGGGGCUAAUACCGGAUAACAUUUUGAACCGCAUGGUUCGAAAUUGAAUGGCGGCUUCGGCUGUCACUUAUGGAUGGACCCGCGUCGCAUUAGCUAGUUGGUGAGGUAACGGCUCACCAAGGCAACGAUGCGUAGCCGACCUGAGAGGGUGAUCGGCCACACUGGGACUGAGACACGGCCCAGACUCCUACGGGAGGCAGCAGUAGGGAAUCUUCCGCAAUGGACGAAAGUCUGACGGAGCAACGCCGCGUGAGUGAUGAAGGCUUUCGGGUCGUAAAACUCUGUUGUUAGGGAAGAACAAGUGCUAGUUGAAUAAGCUGGCAUCUUGACGGUACCUAACCAGAAAGCCACGGCUAACUACGUGCCAGCAGCCGCAGUAA
Molecule: ribosomal RNA, 515 nt
Filed under: uncultured bacterium
Lineage: Bacteria
Description: partial 16S ribosomal RNA
Rfam family: Bacterial small subunit ribosomal RNA
Source: RNAcentral